RNAcentral lists this long non-coding RNA (1518 nucleotides) under Equus caballus (horse). RNAcentral's name for it is "lncRNA (ENSECAG00000046948.1)". The record is from RNAcentral. Lineage: Eukaryota; Metazoa; Chordata; Mammalia; Perissodactyla; Equidae.
GGUAGAAGCUUUAUUAUGAUAUGUCUUAAGGAACAAUUAAAUCAGUAGGCAUUGAUUGAACACCUACUGUGCACAAGCCCCUGCACACAGUAGGGUCCAAUGGACCCGUGGAGUCCAAUGUCCCACCCAUGGCUCUCAGGUUCCCAGGGAGGAAAAUCACAUGAGGGUCAGGGAGUUUUAUGGGGCUGAGAACAGGGUGGGUUCCUGAAUAUCCAAGUGCAGUUAGCUUUAUGAAGGCAAACUUUGCCCCCCCCUGCAGGAGGCAGAGACAGCAGGGAGCAGCAGGCCCGGCUCUCUCGGGCUGGGCAGCAGCCGGUCUGGGUGUUGCUGGAGCCCUGGGAUCGCUGGCUGCCACCCCCGCAGCAGCUGCAGCAGGUCCUGCGCUGCCGGCGGCGCCUCCUGGGGAAGCAGCAGCAGCUGGUGCUGGAGCCGCAGCAACCUGAGUCGCCGCAGCAACCUGAGUCGCCGCAGCAGCCCGAGUCACCGCCGCAGCAGCCCGAGUCACCGCCGCAGCAGCCGGAGUCGCCGCAGGAGCCGCAGCAGGAGGACGAGGCGGCGGGUGCAGGGGCGGGACACGGAGUGGGGCCCUGAGAAGACCCCUUGGAAAAGCCUCUGGAGGCCCCUGCGCUCUGCUGGGAGGACAUCUCGGAGGUCGUCACGGCGAACCUGGAAGAAAAGCAGCUUUUCACACGGGAGCAGACUUUUCUUUCCAACAAUGAACUCAGGGCUUUUGAGAUUUGGCCUUGUGAGCAAGUGAGCCUGGCCUGGUGCCAGGGAAAGGAAGCACCAAGAAAGAAGGAACGCAAAGGAAGAAACCCCAAACCAGUGUUUGCAGUGAGUUAAACAUGCAUAGAGCAGGAAACGGUCUAUGCAAGGAAUCAAUUGUCUUCUACUUUCUCUGACUAGAAUAAGGACCACCCAGGUUCUCCACAAUGGAAAAUAAAGACAACGUUGUGGCAAUUUAUCUGUAUGAUCCAGUCAGUCCAAAAUCUUUGCUUGGCUCUUUUCCCCUUCCCCAUUUCACUGCGACCUCACAAUCUUCAAGUGAUAUUCACAUAGUUAGCACUGUAUUGGUGGCCUAGUGGUUAAGGUUAGAUGCUCUAGCUGAGGGGCCCAGGUUGGUUUCCUGGUGAGGGAACCAUGUCACCCAUCUGUCAGUUAUACUGUAGCAGCUGCAUGUUGCUGUGAUGCUGAAAGCUAUGCCACCAAUAUGUCAAACACUAACAGGGUCACCCAUGGUGGACAGGUUUCAGCGGAGCUUCCAGACUAAGACAAAUUAGGAAGAAGGACCUGGUUGCCCACUUCUGAAAAAAUCGGCCAUGAAAACCCUAUGAAUAGCCACGGAGCAUUGGCUGAUACUGCGCUGGCAAGUGAGAGGCUUCGCCAUCAGUUAGAGAAGAGCCAAAUCACAGAUGCAUCCUUGCUGCCUGGAUCUAAAGAAUUCACAAAGCGCUGGUCGUUUUUUCCUGCCUCUGCCUCUCAUUCACCACAGCCACAAGGAAAAGGAGAGUGAUCCAG